UGUGUGUGUGUGUCCGUCUCUUUCUGUCACUUUCUUUGUGUCUCUCUUUCUCCCUUCUUCUUUUUUUAAACCGUUACCUUCCAGCUUAGAACUGAUACUAAGUAACCUUUCUCAGAUGGAAGAGCAGUUAGGGCAAGGUAAUUGGGGUUCAAUGACUUGGCCAGAGUCACGUGGCUAGGAAGUAUCUGAGAGUCACAUUUGAACCCAGGACCUCCCUAUUCUGGGAGAGUGAAGUUGUUGGAAAAGAGAUCUUUAUAAGAGAGAUCCUCUUCUGGGCAGACUGGGUAUAACAUAGGUCUGACUAAUAAAAAAGCCGAAAUAGCCCUGGGCAUAGGCUGUCUCCCAAGACAGAUCAUACACUUUUAAGAAGAUGUCCCAGAAGCGACAUAAGCCUCUAGGUCAAGAUCUGUCUUUUUCAAGAAAGUCACUCUUUCCUCAGUGGGAAAUCACCCAGAUUCUAUUUAAUAUUUGGGUUUGAGUGAAUAAAUUCUUCCAAUACCCAUCAGCGCCCUGGAAACUAGCAUCAGCCAAGCAAACUAGGAGCAUCCAAACGCUUGGACUAGCACUUAGCAACCCUGGAGCAGGGGACUUUUGUCCUAGGUUCCUUAGGCUAUGCUCAGACCACUGUCCUGACAGGAGGAUCCCUGAAUUAGGCAGAGCAAGUCAUUCAGGGGUUGUGCACCCUAAGCAUUAGAACUUGGACUGAUAGUCCCAUGGCUUAUCAGCAGCCUGCGCUCCAAGCCCUCUGUUCAUUCCACUACCCCAAGCUGCCUCUCACUGCCAGCAGCAAAUGGAACAGAAAAGGCCAUGCACACAUCCAAGUCAAAUCUUGUUCUUUGUAUGCAGCCUAAAUAGACUGCACUGUUUGGUGGUGAUUGAAAUAAAGAAAAAUAGAAUCGUUGACACAUUGGAUUGGAAUAGGUAAUAUAUCAUUCUAACUAGAAAAAGAAGGAGAGGAGACGACUUACUUGCUCACUAUUGUUGCAGUUCAGUCAUGUUGUGGAAUUACCCACUUCACACAGUGUCUGACUCUUCAUGACCCCAUUUGGGGUUUUUCUUGGCAAAGACACUGGAGUGGUUCACCAUUUUCCUGCUCCUGCUCAUUUUACAGAAGAAGAGAUUGAGGCAAACAGGGUGAAGUGAUUUAUCCGAGGUCACGCAUUGGGUGAGGCAAGAUUUGAACUGAGGUCUUCCUGAGUCUAAGUCCAGCACUCUGUCACCUUGCUGCCCUAUUUGUCUAUAGAUGUAGCCUAAAAACAUAGGUACAAAGAGUGACAAUACGUACUAAACUAUGUAUGAUUUGUGAGCCAAAUCUAGAGGUGAGCAAGCGUAUGGCAGCAGACAGGGUGGGCUAUCUACCUCUCUCUAACCUCUCACCUUGGAGGGACACCUUACUUGGUUUGAUUCCCUUGGCUUCAAGAGAUCUCAUCAUGGCUUCCAACCAGGAACAUAUAUAGGUAGAGAAUUAACACUGAAAAUAAUGCCAGAAGGAUCAUCACAUCCCCACCCAACAUUCCAGUUUUCAAGCAGAGAGUCUUCUACCCAUAAGCUAGCAGAGAUUGCCUGGGAGACUUCAAGCAGAUUAAGGAAAAAGGAAAACUCCAGAAUCAAUGUAGUAACAAAUAUUUAUUCAGUACCUUCUGAAAGUAAGCCCCUUCCCUGUGAUGCUAGACUAGUGGGAGAUGUUGAAAAAUAGUCUUUGCUCUCCAGAAGCUUGUGCUCCAUUUGGAGGAACAAGACACAUACAGAUGAAACCAUAACUGAUGGUACAGGCUGGAAUAUGCCAAACAAGCAGCACAUUACAUCUGUUGUAGUCGGAGGCUUGGCUGUUGUCUAAUUUGACUGAUGGGAAGAAUGAUGAAGGAAUAGCUGAAAGGGAAGCCAAACAAAAUAGGCACACGUUUUUUCAAGUUACUUUCCAGUAGUUACAUAGUCAAUGGAAAAAGACACCCCACCUUUAAAAGGACCUGAUAAUAUGUGGUUUACAAAAGUAACCACUAAAUAAAAGUGGCUGACUGGUAUGAAGGCGUAAGCAUCUGGGUUCUAAAUGAGGUCCUGACACUGGCGAGCUGUGUGACUUUGAAAAAAACAACUUCUCUGAGUCUUGGUUUCUGCAUCUCCAAAAUAGUGACGCAUGGCAAAAUGGUAGAGGAGGUAGCCUAUGGGAUCAGGAAGACUUUGACACAUACAAGCUGUGCAAUCAUGAGAAAGUCAUCUGAUCUCUCGGUAUCCCUGGGACUCUAUGCUUAGUUGUUGAAUAGUGUUGGCAAAGGGAAUGUCCAUACCAGGAAUUCCUCACACUGAUGAAGUUGUCAGUCUGGACUCUUCUGUCUCCUGACAAUGGAAAUAAUAUUACCUGCCCAGUUAACUCAUAGGAUUAUGAAAAACAAAUGGCUAAAUGUGUUGGGAAAGUCCUCUACAACCUUCAAGUGCUAUAGAGAUAAAAGCUUUGAGCAUUUCCUUAUUCUGACUUGCUUUACACAGGAAGAAAAAAGAGCAAGGAAGCCAAAUUUGCUACUGGGCAGUUGGUUGUCGGAGUCUUUUUUUCCUCUCUGUGUCUCCUGGAGAAGCAUCUUCCUGCAGGAAUAGGAAUGAAGCUCUGAGAUAGGGAAUUGGGCGUGAAGAAAUAAAGAAGACCAGAUGAUGCAUGAAGGGCAUGAGUUUAUUGGAGGGAAUUGUACCAUUCUGAUUAUGGUGACCAGCAUACAUGUUAUCAUGGCUUUUCUCUCAGGCAUCACCAUUUCAGGAUAUUUGCCUGCUGAAAUGGUGUUAGAGGCCCAAGAUUGUUAGAGAAAUGAAGAUCUUCUCUUUUUAAAUGGAAAUGAAGAAUAGUUCUGGUCUUCUAUGCCACAAUACUAAAUUAGUUUAAUUCCUUUAUGAGCCACUGGAAUUGUAAUAUAAUGUGCUUGUUAAAAACAAAAGCUUCCUUGUAACAA
Monodelphis domestica (gray short-tailed opossum) is the source of this 2936-nucleotide long non-coding RNA. RefSeq lists it as uncharacterized. The record is from RefSeq and is a predicted model, not a curated record. NCBI's taxonomy places the organism in Eukaryota, Metazoa, Chordata, Mammalia, Didelphimorphia, Didelphidae.